AUUGAACGCUGGCGGCAGGCCUAACACAUGCAAGUCGAACGGUAACAGGAAACAGCUUGCUGUUUCGCUGACGAGUGGCGGACGGGUGAGUCAUGUCUGGGAAACUGCCUGAUGGAGGGGGAUAACUACUGGAAACGGUAGCUAAUACCGCAUAACGUCGCAAGCCCAAAGGGGGGGACCUUCGGGCCUCUUGCCAUCGGAUGUGCCCAGAUGGGAUUCGCUAGUAGGUGGGGUAACGGCUCACCUAGGCGACGAUCCCUAGCUGGUCUGAGAGGAUGACCAGCCACACGGGAACUGAGACACGGUCCAGACUCCUACGGGAGGCAGCAGUGGGGAAUAUUGCACAAUGGGCGCAAGCCUGAUGCAGCCAUGCCGGGUGUAUGAAGAAGGCCUUCGGGUUGUAAAGUACUUUCAGCGGGGAGGAAGGGAGUAAAGUUAAUACCUUUACUCAUUGACGUUACCCGCAGAAGAAGCACCGGCUAACUCCGUG
Molecule: ribosomal RNA, 490 nt
Filed under: uncultured bacterium
Lineage: Bacteria
Description: partial 16S ribosomal RNA
Rfam family: Bacterial small subunit ribosomal RNA
Source: RNAcentral